RNAcentral lists this ribosomal RNA (468 nucleotides) under uncultured bacterium. RNAcentral's name for it is "partial 16S ribosomal RNA". It matches the Rfam family "Bacterial small subunit ribosomal RNA", at positions 28 to 507 of the family's 1533-position model. The record is from RNAcentral.
GACGAACGCUGGCGGCGUGCUUAACACAUGCAAGUCGAACGGAGAGGCCCUGUUUUUGUGGGGUGUUCGAGUGGCGAACGGGUGAGUAACACGUGAGUAACCUGCCCUUGACUUUGGGGUAAAUCAAGGAAACAGGGGUGAAAAUCGGAUAGGAGCUCCUGCUGCAUGGGGGGGGUUGGUAAGUUGCGUCGGUUGGGGAUGGACUCGCGGCUUAUCAGCGUGUUGGUGGGGUAGUGGCGUACCAAGGCUUUGACGGGUAGCCGGCCUGAGAGGGUGACAGGCCACAAUGGGACUGAGAUACGGCCCGUACUCAUACGGGAGGCAGCAGUGGGAAAUAUAGCACGAUGGGCGGAGUCCUGAUACAGCGUCGCCGCGUGCGGGAUGACGGCUUUCGGGUUAUAAACCGCUUGCGCCUGUGACGAAGCGUGAGUGACGGUAAUGGGUAAAGAAGCACCGGCUAACUACGUG